UAUAUAUAUCAGGUUAAGUUCAAAACAAAAAUAGAAAUAAACUAAAACUAAACAAAAAUAAUACCAAAUUGGUAUUGUAAUCCUUGCAAGCUCCUCAAUGAUCCGCUGGUUUACUCCAACCAGUGCAUUAUUGUCCAAUAUGAUAUUAUAUCCCACUAUAUACAAAAGGAUUUGGUAGAUAGGUAAACAGAGAGAGUGAUUGAUUGUAAAAUUGAUAUAUUAUACAAAAGGGUUAUAGUGUUCUUCAUCCUCUUGAAAUACUCAAGACAACAGUAAAUCUUAUGUUUUCCAUUUUUCGCUUUUAUUUUCCAAUUUUUUCCUUGAGGAAAUUUUCAAUGACACUUUUGACAUAUGAUGAGACAUCUCAUUUAUUUUUUAAUGAAUGCAACAAAAUGUACUAGAGGAGUGUCGGCAGCAGCAGACUCUGAUACAUCUCCAUCAAAAGCAACAAGAGUAACAAUGGGCCAGCGUCGAAAGCAACAAUGAGCCGCAUCUCCAUCAAAACCUUAAAGCAUUAGGUAUAUGGACAAUUGCAUAAUUUGAGAGGAAUUCUUGUUCCCUGCAAUUCUGAUCAGCGACUUGGUUUGGAGAAUUAUGCAACUAUUAUUAUUUUUUUCAUGGUUUAUUCUACACCUAUUUUUCACAGCGUAAUUUUGUUGUACAUGCUGGUGUUAACAGGGUUACGUGGAUUUGGUGUAUUUCAUAAGUGUCGUUUCUCAAACGUACUGCAACAUGUUAAUUUUGCUGUCCGAAGUGGAGAAAUUGGAUAUGAGUGCUUCUGGAAUAUGUUAUAUAUUUUUAAUUGUUGCUUGGCUUAAUUGGGCAUGAUUAUCAUUAUUCAUCAUUGCCAUUGGUCAUGCUCAUGUUUUUUAAUAUGUUUAUGUAUUGUUUUCGAAGAAUUGUUCUUAGCUUGUGGUCAGGCUGGUGUUGGAGUUUGUGUGUUUCAGUAUCCGGAACCUGCUCUUCCCAAGAUGAAGAAUUUUGGACGACUUGGUUACAUCUGGCCCGGGACUCCUGUGUUAGGAGGAAGCCAAAAUUAUGUCACACAUCAUCUGCAGGCUUUAAUUUAGUUAUCUAUCUGCAGACUCUUUACAUUUCUGUCUAUGUUUGAUACUCAACAUCUACUUUUGAGUUUUCUAUGUGGGUGAAACAAGGGAGAUAGCCAAUAAAUUUGCUGGGUUGCCCGUGGAACCCAUGGCAGGCGGAGGUUCUCAUAUUUCCUAUUAAACUAGUCAUAUUUGAAUGAUCUGCAGCUACUAAUGAAUUGUUUGGGUUUUAAUUGAUUUCUCUUCCAAUUCUCGUUUGAUCACGUGCACCUUUUGCUUAUUGCUUUUAAAAUAAAAAAAAUUAAGAUAUUAGUUUAUUCAUUUUGUAGUGAGCUGAUUUUUGAUUUCUGGAUAUCUGGAUGAAUUUGCAAUUCUUGAUGAUAAUGGAUACAAACGAUAAUAGCAGAGAUACAUAGAUCAAAUUUCUUCAAUGAGUCUUUCUUUAUUAUUUUUGAUUUUGAGAUUUGAUCAUAAGACACAAAUUAAAUUGUGAACCUAUUUUUUUUGCAGUGUAGAUUGUCAAAAUAAUGAUCUUCUUUCAUCAUAGCCAUGGAGCCACUUGUUUUUGUUUGUAUAUUUCUUUUUAAAGCAUAUAUUUUCUUGAUAUUUUAUUUCCUCUGGUAUUGUGGGGACGAUACUAAUUUUCUUUCUCUUGUUUGAUCUUCCGAUUUUGUAUUCUGAUUUUUUUUUCCUUUCUUGUCUUUUGAUUGUGAGGUUUGAUUUGGUUCUGACUUUAAUCCAUGCUUGUUUUCUGCAGUGCAGUAUGUUUUGAAACAACAACUUUUGAUUAGUAUCAAGCCUUCGGUUUAUUUUGAGCUUGGCGGGCUUAUCUUCGUUAUGCUGAUCUGUGACUUGAUAUCUGAGUAUUAGGAGAGCUUUUAGAAUGUAUAAUUUUGUUGUGGAUCUGUCUUUUUCAAGGUUGACAUGGAAGAAGCAAAAAAACAAGAAAUGAAAAAUUACAAUCUGCUUUGCACGAGAUGCAACUUCAGUUCAAAGAAACUAAGUCAUUGCUUCAAAAGGAGCGCGAGGCUGCAAAAACAGAAGCAGAGAGAGUGCUUGUCAUACAGGAGUAUAUUUUAUACUUUGAAUUAUUAAUCACUUGCUGGAGUCCAUUGCAGACCUUGGUGACUUCAUUGGAAAAGAAAAUUGAUGAAACAGAGAAAAGGUAUGUAGAGGCAAAUAAACUUAGUGAAGAAAGUUUGAAGCAAGCUUUGGAUGCUGAGUCGAAAAUAAUCCAGUUGAAAACUUCUAUGCGAAGGUUUUGAUUUCAAAUUAACGCUUCGUUGGUAUCUCGUACAUAUUUAAUUGAUAUCAUUUAAAAUAUUACCUGGCUUAACUCUUUGAAGUAGUUACCAUUUGUUGACCAUUAAAUUGCAAAAUGUAUACCAUCUUGACCCUUUUUACUUAAAUAUUCUGAGAUAUGGAAUCUGAAAAUCAAGUUCUUCGGCAACAGUCUCUGUGAAAACGAUGUUAGAGCACCUUUCUACCCAUGUAUAUGAGAAGUUGGAAAAUGGUCCCCAUUUGGUAGAAGAUCAGAAAGCUACUGAAACACAGACUGACACACCUGUGAAAAAGUUCGUACAGAGUUAGAUAGAAAAUUAAGGAGAUCAUACAUUGAACGUCAACAUGAAAAUGGUGAUUCCCUUAUCAAUUGUGUUAUGAAAAAUAUUGGAUUCCAUCAUGGAAAGCCUAUUGCUGCAUUCACCAUUUACAAAUGUCUUCUCCACUGAAAAUCGUUUGAAGCUGAAUGGACAAAUGUAUUUGAUCGCCUUAUCCACAUGAUUGGUUCUGCAAUUGAGAAUCAAGACAACAGUGAUCUCAUGGCUUACUGGCUGUCAAAUACAUCUGCACUAUUGUUUCUGCUCCCACAAAGUUUAAAAUCCGGUGGUUCAAAUGACGCAACCCCCGUUAGAAAACCACCAAAUCCAACAUCCCUCUUUGGCAGAAUGACUAUGGGUUUUCGGUCAUCUCCUUCGUCUGCCAACCUUCCUACCCCAUCGUAGGUUGUACGCAAAGUAAAGGCUAAGUAUCCUGCUUUGCUUUUCAAGCAUCAACUCACAUCCUAUGUGGAGAAAAUAUAUGGUAUCUUGUGGGACAACUUGAAGAAAGAGUUGGCAUCAUUUAUUUUGUUAUGUAUCCAGGUUUUUUGAAUACAAUUGUUUAACUGAAUCUGAAUGAGAUAAGUAAAGUUGAAUGUCCUAUUAUAAUCCUCGGUUCUCAUAUCUUGUCCAUAUAUAAUAUCUGCCUUUUCGAGAUACUUUAUUGUUUCUAGAAAUUUCUAAGAGGUCUCUGGUCCUCCGAUGUGUUUCCUGUCUUUCCUCCGGAUGGUCAUAAGAUUCUAGAGGUGGUAAAGUUGAAAUCCUGGAGUUGGUUAAGUGCUAUGUGGACUGGUUUCAGAUUUCCGAUUUCUUUGUGGUUUAUUAAUCCCAUAGGAUGCUUGGGUUUUUUUGAUUUGUAUAGCAAUUACAGGCAUAAUUAUGUUGUAUAUAGUUGUUAGGUCCCUAGUACUGCUAUAUGUGUGUUUCGGUAGGUGUGCUAUUCCAGUUUUUCAUUGUAUCCGGCUGGUUUGCAUUCUCUUCUUGUAAUUGUCUUCUAAAUUUUGCACUUAUUCUAAAAUUGUGUUUCAAAUUAUCAUAUACUUUUUUUUUUAAAUACUAUUACUCAUGCAAUUUGUAUUGCUGAUAUACAGGCACCAAGAACAUCUAAGGGAGUCUUAAGAUCUGGCCGAUCUUUUAGUAAUUAUUAUUGAAUCCUUCAUCACUAUUCUCUAUACGAUGAAAGAGAACUUUGUGCCUCCUGUCCUUGUCCAAAAGAUCUUCUCUCAAACAUUUUCAUAUAUUAAUGUUCAAUUCUUCAACAGUCUUCUUCUGCGGCGUGAUUGUUACCCAUUCGGUAAUGGAGAAUAUGUGAAGGCUGGUUUAGCAGAAUUGGAGCUGUGGUGCUGCCAAGAAAGGAUGAGUAUGCUGGGACAUCUUGGGUAAGUGUUUCUUGGUAAGUUGGAUUCUUGGUAAGUGUUUCUUGUUUCAUAAGAUGGCACCAUUUAUCUUACUGAUGUUGUUACAAAAUUUUGAUAAUCAAUGUGGUUUACCAUGCAUCAUGUUUUGUUUCCUAUUGUAAUUAAUUAAAAUCAGACAAUUUCACCAUUUGGAUUUUUUUGACAAAGUAAUUCCUGUCUAAAAUACCCAUGUGGCUUUGCACUGUACUUCUUUUAAACCGUUUUAACUGUCAAAAUGAAUCUUUUAUUGCCAAAAACCAGGGGUGCAAACUUUUAACUUUAAUAUUUUGGUGUAAAUUUGGUAUUAUUU
Molecule: long non-coding RNA, 4351 nt
Organism: Trifolium pratense (red clover)
Lineage: Eukaryota; Viridiplantae; Streptophyta; Magnoliopsida; Fabales; Fabaceae
Exons: 13
Source: RefSeq, a predicted model, not a curated record